UCUUGACUAGUAUAUCGGUUCAGUACACCCGCUUGUCAUCUCGCACAUGUAACCGUCUCCGCGGGAGAGCAGGGUUGGACUCCCUGGUCGAGAG
Molecule: non-coding RNA, 94 nt
Organism: Roridomyces roridus
Lineage: Eukaryota; Fungi; Basidiomycota; Agaricomycetes; Agaricales; Mycenaceae
Source: the annotation of a GenBank genome assembly